RNAcentral lists this ribosomal RNA (254 nucleotides) under uncultured bacterium. Its description in RNAcentral is "partial 16S ribosomal RNA". It matches the Rfam family "Bacterial small subunit ribosomal RNA", at positions 524 to 776 of the family's 1533-position model. The record is from RNAcentral.
CACGUAGGGAGCGAGCGUUGUCCGGAAUUAUUGGGCGUAAAGAGCUCGUAGGCGGUGUGUCGCGUCGGCCGUGAAAACCUGCAGCUUAACUGUGGGCUUGCGGUCGAUACGGGCAUCACUGGAGUUCGGCAGGGGAGACUGGAAUUCCUGGUGUAGCGGUGAAAUGCGCAGAUAUCAGGAGGAACACCGGUGUCGAAGGCGGGUCUCUGGGCCGAUACUGACGCUGAGGAGCGAAAGCGUGGGGAGCGAACAGG